Aquila chrysaetos chrysaetos is the source of this 208-nucleotide long non-coding RNA. RefSeq lists it as uncharacterized. Lineage: Eukaryota; Metazoa; Chordata; Aves; Accipitriformes; Accipitridae. The transcript is spliced from 3 exons. The record is from RefSeq and is a predicted model, not a curated record.
AACCUUGCUGACGAUUUCAAGAGUUCGCCACUGAUGACGGAGGGAUAUACCCCCCUUAAUCUUGCUGUCUCCAAACAUGAUGAGGAGAUGGUAGAGUUUCUUCACAAAAAAGGAACUGAAAAUCAGCGUGAAAGUAAGCUACUGGCAGAAGACACGGGGAGUGAAAACACGGAAGACUCUUCUGCAGGUGGUGUAGCAGACAAGGCAC